This is a long non-coding RNA of Labeo rohita (rohu), 2439 nucleotides long. RefSeq lists it as uncharacterized. The record is from RefSeq and is a predicted model, not a curated record. The transcript has 2 exons. Lineage: Eukaryota; Metazoa; Chordata; Actinopteri; Cypriniformes; Cyprinidae.
AUUAUCAACCACACAGCAAGUAACUUAGCAACCAUAUAGUAACAGCCUAGUAACCACCUUAGCAACUACAUAGAAACAGAGGCGGAGUUUGACUUUUAUGCAUGGGGGGGCACCCACUGGCAGACGAGCCAGCAGCAGAUUUGUAUUAUUUAUUUAUUUUUUUUUUUUUAUAGGCCUGUUCUAUAGUCAUGUAUUUACACCGGUUACAUUACUUACCUGCCACGGCACCGACCACCACCAACGUUUUUAUUUAUUUAUUUAUUUAUUUUGUUUAUAGUAAUAAAAUAUGAUUUAGUUCAGUGGAGAACAGACACUACAAAUAAAACUGUGCGGAGUGCUGAACGACAGUCGCAUCGCAUUGCAGAUCAGAUUUUAUUUUACAGCCUGCAGAGUGACGAGCUGACCGACAAGAAGAGUGAGGUCAGGCGAAACAGACAAGACGAUGGUGAAAGUUUUGGUGAAAUUUUUUAUUUUGAAAACCUGUUGACUUUUGCCGUUUAUCUAUGGUGGUUUUCCAACUUUUUUGAACAUUCCUUUCUUAUUUAUUUGGUUGUACAGUGUUUGCUGAUUUUUACUUUGUGUAAUUUUUUUUCUUAUUCGUUUUGCUAAUAAACGUUCUACGUUUCUUAUAGCUAUUUAUUUGGUUCCACGGUGUUUACCGAUUUUCAGUUUUGUAUACUAGGUUAUUUAAAAUUUAUGUAGGCCUAUAGCCUAAGUUGUUUGUUAUUUUAUAUUAAGCAUAUAGCAUGGUGUAAGCUAUUUUUAUUCAUUUUGUUAAUAAAAGUUCCAUAACUAAUGAGUUUAACGUUGUAUUUUGUUGUUGCUUGAAUGGGAUUCAAGCAAUUUACGCCGAAUUGCCGCUAAUUUAAAAGUGAAAGUAAAAUGUGCACUGCGCAUUUACAAGCUGUUUAAAAGCGAAGGAAAGUGAGUGAAACAAGGGAAAUUGAUGAUAUGUGCCAUUGUAGUUCGGAGCCAGUUUCCUACUUUCCUCAUAACUGAGAAACUUGUUUUUGAUGUAGCCAAACAGUUAACUUGCAAAAGCGGGAAAAUAACGAAAAGAGAGUCCUCUCUAUCAAGACAAGUUGAGAAUCAUGAGUCGCGACUCGCAAGGAUAUGUGGCUUAAAUUGAAUUUAACCGAAACGUACUUAUUCUACCCACUAAAAUAAUAAGAUAAUAUAAAUAAAAUGAAAAAAAUAUGAAUUAUUUGAUUUUUCAUAGCUCAGACAAAAUCAUGAUUGGCUCUCGUCUGGGGGGGCAGUGCCCCCCCUCCCCCCAGCCCCCCCUAAACUCCGCCUAUGCAUAGAAACACUCUAGAAACCACCCAGAACAUCCUAGACAAUACAUAGUAACACCCCAGAAACCACAUUGAGUGUCUUAGCAACUGCAUAGCAACCACCCAAGUACCUUGGCAACUACAUGGCAACUCCCUAGUAACCACCCUGAGUACAUUAGCAACUGCAUAGCAACAGUUGAUUGACUGUCUGAAUGUGUGUGUGUGUGUGUUUUCUAGUGUGGAUCAUGGAGGAGAAUCCAGGAUUACAGCAGGACUAAAGAAAUGGGUUUUUUUUCUCACACUGGAUCCAAACACAGCACACAAUGAACUCAUUCUGUCUGAGGACAACAGAAACGUGACACGUGUGAGAGAGAAUCAGUCGUAUCCUGAUCAUCCAGACAGAUUUGAUGUGUUUUCUCAGGUGUUGUGUAGAGAGAGUGUGUGUGGACGCUGUUACUGGGAGAUUGAGUGCAGUGGAGAUUAUUUUGUGUGUAUAUCAGUGUCAUAUAAGAGCAUCAGCAGGAAGGGAGACGGUGAUGAGUGUGUGUUUGGAUCUAAUGAUCAGUCCUGGAGUUUGAUCUGCUCUCCUGACAGUUACUCAUUCAUACACAAUAACAUACAUGAUCUCUCUUUGAAGUCCAUCAGUCAUAGAGUAGGAGUGUAUGAUCAUUAUAUCAGUAGAAUAGGAGUGUAUGUGGAUGUGAGUGCAGGAACUCUGUCCUUCUACAGCGUCUCCAGAAACACAAUGAGUCUCAUCCACACAGAACAGACCACAUUCACUCAGCCACUCUAUCCUGGGUUUAAUGUUUAUUAUGGAUCAUCAGUGAAACUGUGUUGAUGAAUUAGAAUAGACUAAUUCUACACUGAGAUUCUACACAUAAUGCUUUGAGCUGAUGAUGAAUCAGUAAGAGUGAGAUGUUAUUGAGUCUCUUCAUGACAUUAAUACUGCAGCUCAACUUCUGUCACUCAAAUAACAGAAUAAAUGUGUCAGAAAUCACCAAAUAGACAGUAACAUCAGUGUGUGUAUAUUUGUUUUUAUUGUUGUCUCAUCAAUCAUUUAUUUUAUUACAAAGUAUAAAAAUGUCACAAUCAUGAUUGAUGAAGAACAUGUAAUUAAUUUCUCUAUUUUUUUGUACAGAAAUAAUAAAACACAAUGAAAAAUCAA